CCUACGGGGGGCAGCAGUAGGGAAUCUUUCACAAUGGGCGAAAGCCUGAUGGAGCAACGCCGCGUGCAGGAUGAAGGCCUUCGGGUUGUAAACUGCUUUUAUAAGCGAGAAAUAUGAUGGUAACUUAUGAAUAAGGAUCGGCUAACUACGUGCCAGCAGCCGCGGUCAUACGUAGGAUCCGAGCAUUAUCCGGAGUAACUGGGUGUAAAGAGUUGCGUAGGUGGCAUAAUAAGUAGCUAGUGAAAUCUGGUGGGUCAACCAUUCAGACUAUUAGCUAAACUGUUAAGCUAGAGACCGUUAGAGGUAACUGGAAUUUCAAGUGUAGGGGUGAAAUCCGUAGAUAUUAGAAGGAACACCAAUAGCGUAGGCAGGUUGCUGGGACGGUUCUGACGCUAAGGCACGAAAGCGUAGGGAGCAAACGGGAUUAGAUACCCGAGUAGUC
This 442-nucleotide ribosomal RNA is filed under the name uncultured bacterium. RNAcentral describes it as "partial 16S ribosomal RNA". It matches the Rfam family "Bacterial small subunit ribosomal RNA", at positions 338 to 795 of the family's 1533-position model. The record is from RNAcentral.